CAGUCGCCGCGGUAAUGCGAAGGGGGCUAGCGUUGCUCGGAAUGACUGGGCGUAAAGGGCGCGUAGGCGGUUUGCACAGUCGGGUGUGAAAUUCCUGGGCUUAACCUGGGGGCUGCAUUCGAGACGUGUAGGCUUGAGUGGGGAAGAGGGUCGUGGAAUUCCCAGUGUAGAGGUGAAAUUCGUAGAUAUUGGGAAGAACACCGGUGGCGAAGGCGGCGACCUGGUCCUUUACUGACGCUGAGGCGCGAAAGCGUGGGGAGCAAACAGGAUUAGAUACCCGCGUAGUCCCUGUCUCUUAUAC
Molecule: ribosomal RNA, 301 nt
Filed under: uncultured bacterium
Lineage: Bacteria
Description: partial 16S ribosomal RNA
Rfam family: Bacterial small subunit ribosomal RNA
Source: RNAcentral